CUCCGCGGGCGUCCAGGUGACAGCCGGGGACCGAGAAUCCGAGGCGGGAGCCUGGAGAGAAAACCGAGACGCCAGGCGGCCUCUGCGGGGGCGGGGUGGGGGGGUCGGCCUCCCCCGCCCAGCCGAGCGGGUCGGGGCCGGGGUCUGCCUCGCCCCGCCGGGCCGCGAGCGGCGCCUGCCCUCCUUCGCGGAGCCGCGGCCUCCGGGGGGCGCCGCGCACCCGCGCCCGAUCCUGCUCCGCUUCCCACGGCUCCUGCCCUGAAUUCGGCCGCUGCAACCCCAGCAGCGGUCGCUGCCCCUGGGACAUUUAUCACCUCCGGCUUCGCGCAGCCCGGCGAGGCCGCCGCAUGAAACCCACUUACGGACCGGCAGACUGAGGCUCCCGCGGCAAGUGGCCGCGGGGACUUGAAUCUGGUUUUGGCUGCACGUCCUCCUGCCUCCCCUGGUCGUCGCCGCCACCUCGGCCCCCACCGCAGAGCGCGUUCCAAGUCUCCAGCGCCCCGGUACCGGUCUUCCCCAGUCCUGUGAGCCCCCGGCUCCCACUCGAGAGAGAGGAAAGGAGAGAGAGAAACGUCGAUGUGAGAGAGAAACGUCGAUUGGCUGCCUCCCGUACACUCCUGGACCAGGGAUCGCAUACAACCAGACCAAGCAUUGAACCUGCAACCUAGGUAAUCAGCUGAUCUUUGAUAAAGGAGCAAAGAUGAUUUAAUGAUGAAAGAAAAACAGCCUUUCAACAAAUGGCGCUGGAAUAGUAACAGGACAUUCACAUAAAAAAAUCUAGACGCAGACCUUACACCCCUCACAGAAUUCAUCCUAAAUGGACCCUAGAUCUAAACAUAAAACACACAAUUAUAGAACUUGUAGAAGACAACAUAAGAGAAAAUCUAAGUGAACUGGGUUGGCCGAUGACUUUUUAGAAACCACCCCAAAAGGACAACCCAUGAAAGAGAUUGUUCUGGAAGCUCACGGUUUGAGAUCAGGUUAUGAGCUGGAUUGUUUUCACCUGAGGACCUUUUCCUUGUCUUGCAGAUACAGGCACGCUGUGAGAUAAAGGGCCUUUAGACUUCAAAGUGUGAGUUUGGAAAGCACAUUGGAGCUCUUAACGCAUGCCCCCGCUUGGCUGGAGAGACCUACACAGAAAUGAGGCUGCAGGUGUCUGCAGUGGGGGAAGGACGCUGGUUAGGUUUACUGCCGGACUUCAAGCACAGACGUGAAGUUUGACCCACCGUCGUUCAUUCACUCGCUCAUUUAACGUUACUUACUGGGUUAGCACCUACUGUGUGCCAGGAGCAGGUCGGCUAGGGGCCGGGGCCAACAAGGCCGGUCCCGCCCUGCCCUUGGAGAGCCUUCUCCCUGACUGAGGGAAAGCUUUCCUCAUUGUGUGCACGUGGUCCCGCAGCUGCGUAACCUGCGGCAGCACAACCCCCUGCACGUGUUUUCCUGGAGCCCACGACCUCCAGGUCCUCCCCAGGUGGGCUGCUUCCCGGCCAGCCGGCUGGCCGCACAGCCCUCCAGCCCUCCAGCCCUCCAGCCCUCCAGCCCUCCAGCCCUCCAGCCCUCCAGCCCGGGGGCUCAGUCUCCCUCCUUCCCCGUGGACUUUUUCAUUUUGCUGGAGUAUGUCCUCUAGUGGAUCCCCGAGCAGGGGAGCGAGGGGGAAGUACGUAUCUGAAUACCGCAUUUCAUGUUUGACAGGUGAUAUGAGUGAGAACAGGAUUCUACAUGGAAAAUUCUUUUCACUCAGAAUUUUGAAGAUAAUCCCCAUUGUUUUCUAGGUCUCCGGAUUAAGGGAAUUUAUACCGUUCAGGCUCGUGAUUCUUUGUACGUGAUCUAUUUUUUCCCCUGUGGAUGCUUUUUUAUUUUUUUAAUCUUUUACCCAGGACAUUCUGAAAGCCAUGAUGGCUUUCCUGUGUGCGCAUGCGUGUGCACGUGUGUGCACGCACGUGUGCAUGUACUGGGCCCUUUCAGUCUGGAGACUAGUCCUCAGUUCGGGGGUGUUUUCUUGUUCUCUCCCUCAGACAGUCACCCUCCUUCUGCGUUCCUCUAUUUUCUUUUUCUGGACCUCCAAUUAAUUGAGGGAAUUUGGCCCUCGGAUUGGCCCUUGACAUUUCUGAUCAAUUCCUCCUCAUUCCCAUCUCUCUUUUUUGUUGGUUUGUGUUUUCCUUCCAGGGACAUUUCCUUGGCUUGUGUCUUCUCUUGAACUUUCUAUUUCCACUGACAGCUUUUAUUUUAGUGGAUUACACCUCAUUCGUUGUUUCUGUAGCAUCCUAUGCUUGCCUUAUGGAUUUCAUGUCAUGUCAUAUCCAAAAACAUUAAUUCAAGUUAGUGUGGGGUCUUUCAUUGGUUUUCUGCAUUUUUUUCAUUUCCUUUUUUUUGUUGUUUUAUUCUCUCUUUUCUGUUAACACAAAGCACUGAAUGUCUGAAUGAAAAUAUCUGUUAAAUCUGGGUGUCAGGUGUGGGAAUCUUUGUUUUCUAUACUUUCCUAUAUGUUAGGAUGAUGUCAUAUGUGCAUGUGCUUUAGGCAGAAUGGAGACUUCAGGCAUGUUCUUCCACCUGGAUGGCAGGAGACCUUCAACACAGAAUGAUCUGCAGCGAGCUGGCCUCGUAGUUGAACUUCCAACCACCCGUGUUGAGUCUCUUCUCUUGGGCCAGGUUUUCCAGAGAAGACCUUCCUGAUCUCCUACCUUUGGUACCUGGGUACCAAAAUCCUGGGGAAGGGGGAAGGAACAAAUCUGAGGGGGCCUCACUUGAGAAGCCACUGUGGACUGAACCCCUCGUUUUUGGUCCUUCGGUGCCUCAUCUCCGCUUUCCCCCGUGUCUGGGGUUCUUGAGCCUGGAGGCUGUGCCAUUCUGUUUCUACACAUAAUAAACAUCUAGGAGGGGCGGUGGCAACUCCAAGCUGCAAGGGGUGGAAAGGGGGGAUCCCAUUAUUUAUUUAAUACAGACUCUCUACCCACCCCCGUUUUUAACCUACCGCCUGCCACAUGUCCAACUUCCCUGUGGUAACUGAUGUCUCUGAAUCCUGGAGCUCUUGGGACUCGGGGAGAAUUUGCCCAGUUUUUAUCAGUGUUCCCCCCUUGACACAGCUAGGCUGUAACUUCUGUCCCACAGCAGUUAGCUCUAUCUGUUUUCCGUGUCCCAUUUUCUUAGAUUUUAUUUAUUUAUUUUUAGAGAGGGGGAAGGGAGGGAGAAAGAGAGGGAGAGAAACAUCGAUCAGCUGAUCAGGAACUGAACUGGUGACCUUUUGGUUCGCAGGCUGGUCCCCAUAAAUUCUUCAUGAUGGGUCUCAGACUGAUGGGCUCGGAGGAAGUGUGAGGUGACACACUGAAGACAUGCAGUUCCCAAGAAUGGUCACAAGGUGGCUCAAGGACUCUGUUUAAUUUACAGUUUCUCCAUACCCAGCCCUGCCAACCUGCAAGAGUUCAGAGUAUUGUGUGUUGGUUAAUCCAGCAGAGGGGAACCCCGGAACCAUAGAGUAUUUACACUGGACUGAGUCUCCAAGGACUUCCUAGUCCACCUCCCAGGACCAGAGAUCCACAGGACCCAACCCAUAUAUCCUGUAUCUGGAGACAGUUGAUAGGAAUAGCCUUGGACUCGAAUGUUAAGGUUCUUUUCCUUAUAUUCGAAGCUGCUUUAAAAUUGGAAUACAAAUGUGAGUGCAUGCAAGUGAGGGUGGGAACAAGGAGGCCAGCACCAUCCCUGCUGACUGUGCUGGACAGAAGGAAGCAGGAAAAAAAAGUCUCUGGCUCACUUACCCUGCGUCCCCAGCUCCCGCAGCAGGGGCGGCCACGCCCUGGGUGCUGUGCAGACACAGAGCACACAGGACAGAGGCCCGCCCACCAGAGUGUACAAUGCAGCGAGUAGAUGAGUCAACAGAAGACAGCCACAAGGAAAGAAGUCUGCAAUGAAUGCCCAACACAAAUGUAGGGCAAAUGUGCUCUUAUCCGUAUGGAGAAGGGAGGGGUCACUUCCCUGCACAGGAGUGGGGAGUAUUCUUGCUGGCGCCUCUCGGGAAGCCCUUGGAAGAACAGUAUGUAACAGCCCUUCUCAAGUUUAACUGUGGAGUCUAAUUCACUAGGGCUGUGCGUGUGUGUGUGCCGAGAUUCUGUGUUUCUAACAAGCACCCAGUUGCCUCCGGUGUGGCUGAUCUGAGGACUGCACUUUGAGUGGCGAGGGUGUAGGCAUUGGUUCAUGAAGUUGGCUGCAAACACGUAUCACACAGGAAGUGAAAAACAAACAAAAAGCAAAAAGCUGCUGACAUGCCAAUCUCACCCUAGAGAUUCUGUAUUAGUUGUGCUGGGGUACAACCUUGGCACUGAUAUUUUUAAAAGCACUUCCCAAGUGACUUUUUUUAAAAUAUUUUUUUUCAAUUACAUUUAACAUAUAUUAGUUUCAGGUGUACACACCAGUGAUUAGAUGUUAUACAACUUACUAAGUGAUCAUCCCAAUAUGCCUAGUACUUGUCUAACACCAUAGUUAUUAGAAUAUCAUUGACUAUAUUCCCUAUGCUGUACUUUACAUCCCCAUGACUGUUCUGUAACAACCAAUUUGUACGUCUUAAUCCCACCACUUUUUUCCCCAUCCUCCCAACCCUCCCCUCAUCUGGCAACUGUCAAAAUGUCCUCUUGUAUUUAUGAGUCUGUUGCUGUUCUGCUUCAUUUGUUUUUUUAGAUUCAUUUAUUAACAUAUG
Molecule: long non-coding RNA, 4687 nt
Organism: Phyllostomus hastatus (greater spear-nosed bat)
Lineage: Eukaryota; Metazoa; Chordata; Mammalia; Chiroptera; Phyllostomidae
Exons: 6
Source: RefSeq, a predicted model, not a curated record